ACGGAGGGUACGAGCGUUAAUCGGAAUGACUGGGCGUAAAGCGAGCGCAGGCGGUCUGAUCAGUCGGAUGUGAAAGCCCCGGGCUUAACCUGGGAAUUGCAUUCGAUACUGUCAGACUAGAGUAUGGGAGAGGGAAGUGGAAUUUCUAGUGUAGCGGUGAAAUGCGUAGAUAUUAGAAGGAACACCAGUGGCGAAGGCGGCUUCCUGGCCCAAUACUGACGCUCAGGCUCGAAAGCGUGGGGAGCGAACAGG
This 252-nucleotide ribosomal RNA is filed under the name uncultured bacterium. RNAcentral describes it as "partial 16S ribosomal RNA". It matches the Rfam family "Bacterial small subunit ribosomal RNA", at positions 525 to 776 of the family's 1533-position model. The record is from RNAcentral.